This 468-nucleotide ribosomal RNA is filed under the name uncultured bacterium. Its description in RNAcentral is "bacterial SSU rRNA". It matches the Rfam family "Bacterial small subunit ribosomal RNA", at positions 355 to 825 of the family's 1533-position model. The record is from RNAcentral.
UGGGGAAUAUUGGUCAAUGGAGGCAACUCUGAACCAGCCAUGCCGCGUGCAGGAAGAAGGCCCUAUGGGUCGUAAACUGCUUUUUGAACAAGAGAAAACCCCGGUACGUGUACUGGGUUGAUAGUAUUGUUAGAAUAAGCAUCGGCUAACUUCGUGCCAGCAGCCGCGGUAAGACGAAGGAUGCAAGCGUUAUCCGGAUUCAUUGGGUUUAAAGGGUGCGUAGGCGGACUGAUAAGUCAGUGGUGAAAUCUCUCGGCUUAACCGAGAAACUGCCAUUGAUACUGUUAGUCUAGAGUACAGAUGAUGUGGGCGGAAUAUGACAUGUAGUGGUGAAAUACUUAGAUAUGUCAUAGAACACCGAUUGCGAAGGCAGCUCACAAAACUGUAACUGACGCUGAGGCACGAAAGUGCGGGGAUCAAACAGGAUUAGAUACCCCAGUAGUCCCUGAGCGGGCUGGCAAGGCGCAU